GACGAACGCUGGCGGCGUGCUUAACACAUGCAAGUCGAACGGAAAGGCCCUGCUUUUGUGGGGUGCUCGAGUUGCGAACGGGUGAGUAACACGUGAGUAACCUGCCCUUGACUUUGGGAUAACUUCAGGAAACUGGGGCUAAUACCGGAUAGGAGCUCCUGCUGCAUGGUGGGGGUUGGAAAGUUUCGGCGGUUGGGGAUGGACUCGCGGCUUAUCAGCUUGUUGGUGGGGUAGUGGCUUACCAAGGCUUUGACGGGUAGCCGGCCUGGGAGGGUGACCGGCCACAUUGGGACUGAGAUACGGCACAGACUACUACGGGAGGCAGCAGUGGGGAAUAUUGCACAAUGGGCGGAAGCCUGAUGCAGCCACGCCGCGUGCGGGAUGACGGCCUUCGGGUUGUAAACCGCUUUCGCCUGUGACGAAGCGUGAGUGACGGUAAUGGGUAAAGAAGCACCGGCUAACUACGUG
RNAcentral lists this ribosomal RNA (468 nucleotides) under uncultured bacterium. Its description in RNAcentral is "partial 16S ribosomal RNA". It matches the Rfam family "Bacterial small subunit ribosomal RNA", at positions 28 to 507 of the family's 1533-position model. The record is from RNAcentral.